Heterocephalus glaber (naked mole-rat) is the source of this 825-nucleotide non-coding RNA. NCBI's taxonomy places the organism in Eukaryota, Metazoa, Chordata, Mammalia, Rodentia, Bathyergidae. The record is from RefSeq and is a predicted model, not a curated record.
CAGGCUCGGGGCAGAGCAGCUGGCGGCGGCUGCGCUGGAAUGCAAACCACAGGAAGGCGGGCCGCACCUUCUCCCGGGCUGAACGGGACCGGAGCUGAGCAAGGUGAAACAAAGCGACCGGAAGAACAGGGAAGACCCCAGAGAGCUCAGGAGAGCGGCUGGGAGGCUGACGGACUCUGAGCAGGUGCAGGGCCUGGUGGCUGCCUGGAGAGAGGCUGGGCCCGGGCUCGGGUGAGCGGGGCGAAGACAGGGGUGAGCGGGGCGAAGACAGAGCUGAGCCCUGACAGUGUGAUUGUCCCUGGAACGCCAAGCCUCAGUGAGCCAGUUACCGCUGGCGGUUACUAAUACUUGCACAACCAAAUCCACAUGCCGGCGUCCCUAGUCUGUGAGCGCCUCGCCCGGAGCUGCAUCUGCUGAAAGGCUCCGUCCCUGUGUCACUCCGAACGGAACCUGAGGUGUGGCCCAUUAGCUGAAUUAACGUGGGUUCCGGAUAAUCCAAGAAGGAAACAAUGAGCCCAGUGGGGUGGUGCAAGCUGUAAUCCCAGCACGAGGAAUCUUGAAUUUGAUCCCAGCCUGGGUAACCUAGAGACCUAGCAAGACCCUGUCUCAAAAUUUUAAAAAGGUAGAGAGUGUAGUUCAGUGCAAAGGCCUUGGUUCAAGUUCAGUUGUCAAAAAGGACAGAAAGAGAGAGAAAGAGAGAGAAAUUAGCAAGUGACUUUAGUCAUUUCCCCUAUAAAACAUCUCCCCAAGAUGCCAAGCAGAUGGUUCAUGUGCUCUCCCUUUGGCGCCAUAGAGGAACUAUACAAGCAGAGAAAUGAAAUGAAA